GGACAUGUCAAAAUAAUGGUUGAUGUCCAGUCUCUCUAGGCUUCACUAAAUUGCAUAAUGUGCUUUUUUUAAAUUUAAAAAUCUGUUUUCAAUAAUAAUUUAUGUCUUCGAUACCUAUUUUAGAUUUUAUACAUGUACACAAUUAUGUUACCCAAAUACAUGAUGGCUAAUAGUUUCAUGUACACAUACAUUUAACAGACUUACAUAAAUAAUUGUUGGUUGUAAAUACUGAUUAAAGUGAUAGUUGUAUUAAAUGAUACAAAAGUGAUAUUACUAUUUAUCCCAAUAUUCAUUUGAUAACUGUAUAUGUGACCGUUGCCUCAGCUCUUUUCAUCUGAUUUAGUUUGAUUAUAUAAUUUAUUUCAAUGACUUAAAAUUGCACUCAUGUCAUUGUAUAAAUAUAGUAAACUUUCACUUCAAAUUUGAUGUGAAAUUAACGAAAUAUGAUUCUUAAUACUUGUUUGUAGUAUGCCAUAAACUGGGUUAACUAACCAAUGUCAUCACUAUAAGUAUUACAACUAUGAUUAGAAUCUUUGAGAAAUAAAGUUUUACAAGUGAACACUAUAAUUUCCUCUGCAGUUACAUAUUCAUUAUAUUUGGAGGGUCACCAAUUACAGUCCAAAUGUAACUUUAGUUCACCAAACCAAGUGUGCAGGUUGUUAUAUUAAAUAAUACAUGCAAUAAAUGUUAUCACUGUCCUACAUCUUCAUCUCAUGUAUCUCAUAUAUUUACUUUUCUCAGAUUCUACCACCUCUUUUUCAUACCAAUUUGUGUAUAUUUAAUGCCCAAUGUUAUGGUGAUAUGUACAUGGUCGCAAUCUAGGAGUGUAGGACAUUAGCCCUUUGGGACAUUAGCCCCUAGGACAUUAGCCCCUUUGGACAUUAGCCCCUAGGACAUUUGCCCCUUAGGACAAUAGCCCCUAUCUAUUUUUACAUUCAUUUUUUAGGUAAUUUCACCUUUUUUUAAUUAGUGGAAUUAAUGUUGUUGUUUUUUUUUAAACAGCAACAACAACACGUUAUGUUACUUAUGUAUCUAAUUAUAAGGUAAUUUUAGACUUCUGGAUGGUGUCAGAUAGCAAAAUGUUGGCAAAUAGAGUCCAAAGAAAAAAAGAAAAAAUUAAAAAAAACGACACAAAAAUGUAUGUGUGUGGUACAAGCUAUAUAUUGUUUGUUUUUAGAUAUGAAGUUUAAAAAAUGGAAUAAAAAUGCUUAUGUAAAAAAAGUUUUGAACCUAGGGGCUUUUGUCCUAGAGGGCUAAUGUCCGUACCCCGCAAUCUAGACGAAGUGCAUAUGUCCAAGAAUGUAAACAACUGUCUUAACUAAAAUUUGAUGGGGGGGGAGGGGCAUAUUAGGAGUGUAGUACAUUCGCCCUCUGGGACAUUAGCCCCUUGGACAUUAGCCCCUUUGGACAUUAGCCCCCUAGGGCAUUUGCCCCUUAGCACAUUAGCCCAUACCUACUUUUACAUUCAUUUUUUAGGUAUUUAAUUUCAUCUUUUUUUUAAAUUAAUGGAAUUAAUGGUUUGUUUUUUUUAAACAGCAACAACAACACAAUAUGUUACUUAUGUAUCUUAUUGUAAGAUAAUUUUAGACUUCUGGAUGGUGUCAGAUAGCAAAAGUUUUGCAAAAUAAAUAGAGUUCGAAGAAAAAAUAGUAAAGAAAUUGUAAAAAAAAACAACUAAAAUGUACGCGUGUGGUACAAGCUAUAUAUUGUUUGUAUUAACAUAUGAAAUUUAAAAAUAUGGCAUAAAAAUGCUGACUUAAAAUAAAAAAAGGUUUUGAAAAUUUUACAUGUAAAACACCUUGGGGCUUAUGUCCUAGUGUGCACUUUUUUGAAGGGGCUUUUGUCCUAGGGGCUAAUGUCCUAGGGGUUAAUGUCCAAGAGGGCUAAUGUCCGUAUCCCGCAUAUUAGACAUUAGCAACGAACAGCACAAAAACACUUGACACAAGUUAUGGAGCAUCCCGGGGAAUUUACUGGAUUAAAGCAUUUUGAGGGUUAAGGGAAAGUGUUCAGCUUGAAACGUCACAUUUGACUCUAUUAUACAUGAACAAGUCAUUAGAAUAUAUUACUAUUGCUAAAAUUGCUUAAUGUUAUAAUUGUGCAUGUUCAAUAUGUCUGGUGCAUUACGAAUAGUGUCUAGUUUAUUUUCUACAUUGUCAGAUACAAGUUUAAAUAGGCAACAUAAGUUUUUAAGAUUUUAUUAAUAAAUAACAACACAACUGUUAAAUAUUUUAGGAAACAAUGGUUAUUUUUUUACUAUACUAAAAGUCCAGUACUUUAAAGGGAUCUUUUCACACUUUGGUAAAUUGACAAAAUUGAAAAAAGUUGUUUCAGAUUCGCACAUUUUCGUUUUAGUUGUGAUAUUUGUGAGGAAACAGUAAUACUGAACAUUUACCAUGCUCUAAUAUAGCCAUUAUAUGCAUCUUUUGACGAUUUUAAAACCUAAAAAUUAUAAAGCGUUGCAACGCGAAACGAUUGAAUAAUGUGGAGAGUUCUGUUUUUGUCGUUAAAUUUUGUGAAACUACGAAGAUUGCUUAUAUAACGUAUAAAAUACAUCCGGAAUGUGUACUCGGCGGAAUAGCUCAGUAGGCUAAAGCGUUUUUACUUCAGGACUCUGGCAGGACUCCAGGGGUGACUGGUUCGAAACCUGCUCCGGGCAAUGUUCUUUUCCUUUUUUAAAUUUUAUUCUUGAUUUUUUACUGGAGCUUUUACGAUCCAAUGUUUACAUUUAUUAAUAUAAAGCAUUUAAUGAAUAAGUUAAAAAAAUGCCAAAAUCUGUGAAAAGGCCCCUUUAAAUUCGAAAUGACAUGGUCAGCAAUGUAAAAAUGAUGCAGAUGAACACUACAUAAAUUGGCAUGUUAACAAGUUCACUUGAUACUUCACAUGUGCAUUGGCCUUGUACCAAUUUUAUGACUUGAUUUAGGUUUUAAGAUUGCAUUGUGAUAUUUUAUGCUGCAUACAAAUUAUUAUGCCCCCUUCGAAGAAGAGGGGGUAUAUUGCUUUGCUCAUGUAGGUCUGUCGGUCCGUCGGUCUGUCGGUCCGUCCACCAGGUGGUUGUCAGACGAUAACUCAAGAACGCUUGGGCCUAGAAUCAUGAAACUUCAUAGGUACAUUGAUCAUGACUCGCAGAUGACCCCUAUUGAUUUUGAGGUCACUAGGUCAAAGUCACGGUGACCCAAAAUAGUAAAAUGGUUUCCGGAUGAUAACUCAAGAACGCUUAGGCCUAGGAUCAUGAAACUUGAUUGGUAGAUUGAUCAUGACUCGCAGAUGACCCCUAUUGAUUUUCAGGUCACUAGGUCAAAGGUCAAGGUCACAGUGACCCGAAAUAGUAAAAUGGUUUCCGGAUGAUAACUCAAGAACGCUUAGGCCUAGGAUCAUGAAUCUUGAUAGGUAGAUUGAUCAGGACUCGCAGAUGACCCCUAUUGAUUUUGAGGUCACUAGGUCAAAGGUCAAGGUCACAGUGACCCGAAAUAGUAAAAUGGUUUCCGGAUGAUAACUCAAGAACGCUUAGGCCUAGGAUCAUGAAACUUGAUAGGUAGAAUGAUCAUGACUCGCAGAUGACCCCUAUUGAUUUUCAGGUCACUAGGUCAAAGGUCAAGGUCACGGUGACCCGAAAUAGUAAAAUGGUGUCCGGAUGAUAACUCAAGAAUGCUUAUGGCUAGGAUCAUGAAACUUCAUAGGUACAUUGAUCAUGACUGGCAGAUGACCCCUAUUGAUUUUCCGGUCACUAGGUCAAAGGUCAAGGUCACAGUGACAAAAAACAUAUUCACACAAUGGCUCUCACUACAACAGAGAGCCCAUAUGGGGGGCAUGCAUGUUUUACAAACAGCCCUUGUGUUAAUGUUAUGUCUUGGAAUGAAAUUAAUGUUACUUGAUGUUAAUAAAGAAGUCAUAAUGA
Long non-coding RNA from Dreissena polymorpha, 3895 nucleotides. RefSeq lists it as uncharacterized. The record is from RefSeq and is a predicted model, not a curated record. The transcript is spliced from 2 exons. Lineage: Eukaryota; Metazoa; Mollusca; Bivalvia; Myida; Dreissenidae.